GCCAGUGUGGUUUAGUGGUGUGAGCAUUGGACUACAACUCUGGAGACUAGGGAUUGACUCCCCACUUAGCCA
Phrynosoma platyrhinos (Desert horned lizard) is the source of this 72-nucleotide non-coding RNA. Lineage: Eukaryota; Metazoa; Chordata; Lepidosauria; Squamata; Phrynosomatidae. The record is from the annotation of a GenBank genome assembly.